This 5688-nucleotide long non-coding RNA is filed under the name Homo sapiens (human). RNAcentral describes it as "HSALNT0384607". The record is from RNAcentral. Lineage: Eukaryota; Metazoa; Chordata; Mammalia; Primates; Hominidae.
GUUUAUGUACCUCCCCCCAAAUUCAUAUGUUGAAAUCCUACCCCUCAAUGUGAUCCUAUUAGAACAUGGUGCCUUUGGGAGGUAAUUAGGAUUAGAUGAUGUCAUAAAGGUGUGAAGCAUUUGUGAAUGGGAUUAGUGUCCUUAUAAGAGUUCUGGUAAAGGUUACUUCCCUCUCUGCUCCCUGCCAUGUGAGGACACAGAGAAGUUAGCAGUCUGCAGCCCAGAAGAGGACACUCACCAGAACCCAACCACGCUGGCACCCUGAUCUCAGACUUCCAGCCUCCGGAAUCGUUUCUGACCCUUGAGCCUAAAAGACUACGGCAUACUACAGGGCAUAUGCCAAGAUGAGAGCAAAAUGGAAAACAGAAAGCAGAUGAGGUGGAUGCAGUUUCAAAUGUGGCUGUGCGCUUCUGGGUAAACAAAGUGAAAAGGGAAAUUCGGUCAACUACAUUGUUCUCAUUAAGCAUGAAGUGAGAAUGCUCAAGUUCCUUAGGACCAGCAAAGCUUUUUUCUAGCACUUAUUUCUCAAAGCACAAUAGGCAUUAUACAAGGAACUACUGGGAGAUAUGGAGGAUGCUGUCUUCAUUAACUGACACUUUGCAGCGAAUUCAAUAAUGGGAUGUAUAAGGCUGCUGUUCAGAGCAUCUGUUAUGAACACUGAGGGACUCAUGCUUCCAUGGUUGGUCAACUUGAUUCUGUGCAGUUGGAAGAAAGGCAAUGUGGUCUGAGUAUGCCAGCAUCCAGAGGCUCUCUGCAAGUGUCAGUGUUCCAGGAACUGGUCCCCAAACAUUUUAGCCACAACUGACUCUCAGCCCAUUUCUGCCCUUUCCCUCUCAGUGCAAGCUCAUUUGUACCAACUUCUGAAGGUUCCACUCUCCCGUCCCGAGGAGGGAAAUACAAGAGAAUUGAAACCUCCUGCCCUUCAUCCCUGAGAAGGGUUGCACAGAGGUGCCUGCAGAUGUCAAGAACUGUCCUCCACAGCAUCCCUGUUCUUUACCUCCUGUCUCCAUGAUUAAUUCAAGCUGUUGGGAUCUCACAUUACCAUCAGGCUGUCACUGCACUGAGGGUCCCAAAUGGCUCCAGCCCAAGCAACAAAUUAAUCCAGGUAACCUAUCCUUACAAAGCCAAACAGAAACAAAAACAAAACCCGCCACUGUGCCCCCAAACCUGCAUUGGAGUGGUGAUGCUUUGAUAAGGUUUAAAUAAGACCUAGUAUUUGAUAGCACAACAGGGUGACUAUAAUCAAAAUGACUUAUUUGUUUAUUUAAUUUUUUUGAGACAGAGUCUUGCUCUGUCACCAAGACUGGAGUCCAGUGGCACGAUCUCAGCUCACUGCAACCUCCACCUCCCGGGUUCAAGCGACUCUUCUGCCUCAGCCUCCCAAGUAGCUGCGAUUACAGGCAUGUGCCACCAGGCCCAGCUAAUUUGUAUUUUUAGUAGAGAUGGGGUUUCACCAUGCUGGUCAGGCUGGUCUCGAACUGACCUCAGGUGAGCCUGCCUCAGCCUCCCAGAGUGCUAGGAUUAUAGGCAUGACAAAAUAAUUUAAUUGUACAGUUUUAAUUUUAUAUUUUAAAAUAACUGAAGGAGUAUAAUUGGAUUGUUUGUAACACAAAUGAUAAAUGCUUGAUGGGAUGGAUACCCCCAUUUUCCACGAUGUGAUUAUUAUGCAUUGCAUGCCUGUAUCAAACUGUAUCAAAAUAUAUCAUGUACCCCACAAAUAUAUGCAACUAUUAUGUAUCAAAAACAUUAAAAUAUAACAAUUAAAUUAUUUUUUUUAGAUGGAAUCUCACUCUGUUGCCCAGGCUGGAGAGCAGUGGCAUGAUCUUGGCUUACUGUAGCCUCCGCCUCCUGGGUUCAAGCAAUUCUCCUGCCUUAGGUUCCCAGGUAGCUAGGAUUACAGGCACACACCACACCUGGAUAAUUUUCUUGUAUUUUUAGUGGAGACAGCAUUUCACCAUGUUGGCCAGGCUGGUCUCUAACUCCUGACCUCAAGUGAUCCACACACCUCAGCCUCCCCAAGUGCUGGGAUUACAGGAAUAAGCCAUUGCACCUGGCCAAAAAGUUUUAAACAUUUUUCUAAAGGUACAUUCCAACUGUGUGCCUCACUCAAGUGCCACAGAUGAAACCAGGUUGGUAGCAAAACAUGAUAACUGGUGACGGUAGGGAAGACAGGGUUUGGCUUUGUUUGUUUCUUCUUGUUUUGUUUCUUUCUUUUGCCUGUCUUAGGAACUGUGCCAAGGGUUUUACAUGCAUUAUUCCAUUUCAUCUACACAGUGAUCUAAGUAACUGGAUAGUAACACCACCAUUUUUUAAGAGAGGAAGGAGGAGUAAUGCACCUCCCCCGAGGUUACACCAUUAGAAAGAGACAGAACCCAUGGAUUUGAAUGCAUAUGUUGGAAACAAAUGCUCAGUGCCGCAAAGACACUAGCACUGAGACAAAGGACAAAGCAUCUCUCAGCAAGGCAAAUUUACUUCUGUAGAAGGGUGCAUCUUGCAUAUGGAGCAAUGGUGAGAGCACACAGAACAAAGGAAAGCAGGGGUUUUUAUUUUCUCUAAUGCAGCUUCUGCCUCUGUGUCUUUCCCCUAUUGGCUAGGGUUGGACCGCACAGUCUAAACUAGUCCUGAUUGGCUUGACAUUUAAACUUUCUUAGAUAAGGCAGGCACAUAGUGAGGUGAGAAGAGAGAGAUGGGGGGUCAUUUAUGGGGGGACUAGGAAGGUAACCUAUUCCCGAAUAAGGAAAGGAAUGUGGACUGGGGUUGUAGCAAGUUCAGGCAUGCCUAGGCAUAUUCAGACAAGCUGGGGUGCAGCAAAGGCAAGGGGGUAUUUGGAAUUAUAGUAUAGAGAACAGGGAAACUGGAUAAGCUGUUAGAAGAGGGAAACUAACUGUAUCUAACAAUGGCAAGAUGGGCCCCCAAGCCCAAGCUCUGGCCUCUGCCUCAGACCUUGGAAAGUGACCAUGAUGGAACCACAAGCAGGCAGAAGAACACUCUGCCCCUCAAGAUCAUCCAAUCAAAAAUUCUCUCCUCCCCAGCAGGGUUAAAAGUGAAACACACCAUUAAAAUGUGACCCUUGGGAAGGGUCAACCUUUAGUUGCCUACAGAGUAAGAAUUCGUUGGUUGGAUAAUAAUGACUUUUAAGGCAGUAUUCCUGAAAAUAUGGCCUCAGGACCACUGACAUCAGAAUCACCUAGGAGGAGGAUGAGGCUGUCAAAUUUGAAUAUAUCACAGCCCCAGUCCCAGAUUUGCUUUCUCAGCAUUGCUGUCUCAAGAGAAUGAGGUUCUGCGGAGAGAACUUACAUUAACAAGCACUUGCAGAGAAUCUGUUCUACAGCAUCUACAGCAGGUAUAUGCCAGAUGCUGAAUCACAUCUAUCCUCUCUAUGAUGUUUCAUUGAAUAGCACAAUAGACAGGGAGAGGCAGGUGAUGGGGAAAGAGGAAGGUUGGGAAAAGUUGAUGGAGUGGAAAAAAAGCACAAGUCAGACAGAUCUAGGGAUUCAAAUCCCAACAUAGCCACUUGGACAAGUGACAACCUCCGUGAGUAUAAAUUUCCCAUGGGGUUGACUUAAAUCAUAAAUGAGAACUAUGGUCCACGCUCAUUCUCAUAGUCAACUGCAGGAUUCCAUUCAAAGUACAAUGAAAAGGGCUUGUGACCAGUGCACACAAGGGUUGUAUUUCACCAACAACAAACCUCUGGGAGGAAAAGUAUGGGCCAAUCAGGGAUAUUCAAAAGAAACUACUUCCUGGCCAGGCGCAGUGACUCACUCCUAUAAUCCCAGCACUUUGGGAGGCCAAGAUGGGUGGAUUGCCUGAGGUCAGGAGUUUGAGACCAGCUUGGCCAACAUGGUGAAACCCCGUCUCUACUAAAAACACAAAAAUUAGCCAGGCGUGGUGGUGAGCACCUGUGAUCCCAGCUACUCAGGAGGCUAAGGCAGGAGAAUCGCUUGAACUUGGAAGACAGAAGCUGCAGUGAGCCAAGAUUGUGCCACUGCACUCCAGCCUGGGUGACAGAGGGAGACUCCAUCAGAAGGAAAGAAAAGGAGAGGAGAGAAGAGGAAAGGAGAGGAGGGGAGAGGAGAGAAGAGAUGAAACUACUUCCUGAUGGAGUUUUUCCCCCAAAACAUCAUCUGAAUGUACUAACUCAAUGAAUAUCCACCCUCAAUGCUUACUUGGAACAUGGCACAUACUCAACAUGGGAGGGAGAACUUAGAAGUAUUUGCUGCCCUCAAUGUGUUUUCAAUCUAGUUAGAGAGAAAACUACAGACUCCUAGGAAAAUUAAGAUACACCACAAAAAUCAAAGUCAAAGGCAACAUGGCAUGGAAAGUCAAAAGGCAGAAUGGCUCACGCCUGUAAUUCCAACACUUUGGGAGGCUGAGGUGGGUAGAUCACCUGAGGUCAGGAGUUCAAGAGCAUCCUGGCCAACAUGGUGAAACCCCCUCUCUACUAAAAAUACAAAAAAAAAAUUAGCUGGGCGUGGUGGCAGGUGCCGGUAAUCCCAGCUACUCAGGAGGCCGAGACAGGAGAAUCACUUGAACCUGGGAGGCAAAGGUUGCAGGAAGCCAAGAUCAUGCCAUUGCACUCCAACCUGGGCAACAAGAGUGAAACUCCAUCUCAAAAAAAAAAGAGAGAGAGAGAGAGAGAAUUAGCCCCUAGGAGUCAAUAAAUGUAAGCUGACUUGGAGAGAACAGAAUUGAGCACAUCACUAAGAAAGAGUCAUGGGAGUGGAAGAAACAGAUAGAUCGAUUAUAAGGAGCUGAGCUUUGCCUUGAGUUCUCAAAAUGUGUAAGACUUGUCUAGCAAGAAAAGAGAGAGGUAUUCCAGGGAGAGUUGCAGUAAGUCAUUGAUAGCCCCACUAUGGUCUCAAUUCCCCCAGGCUGCUGAGCUUCUGGAAGAUGAAGAACUGACCCAUCGGAAAAUAUACAGAUUGGAACAAGCAUAGCUUUAUUCUUCCCCUUCUCGGGAUGGACCCCAACACCUAACCAAGGCUUUCCCUCUUACACUAAGCUUUGAGGACAGCCAUGGCCUCAUAAGAAUCACAAUCCAUUCUACAAGUCCAGCAACAGUUCAUCAAGGAGAGACUGGUGGCCACUGGCCAAGAUCUCUGUAUGCUCCUCAAGGGUUUCAAUAGUUGGAUUCCAUUUACCUCUCUGGAUUCCAGCUGCCUCACCUUAUAAAAUCACAGCUGGUACCAAUCCUCCAGGCUCAGCUCACAGCAAAAGGGCAAAAGAUAUAUCUAGGUCUAAAUAGACCAAAAGCAAAAAAAAGUCUCCAGUAUCCACUGUUAUGGACUGAAUGUUUGUGUGCCCUCAAAAUUCAUAUGUUGAAACCCUAACCCCCAAUGGUUCUGUAUUUGAAGAUGGGGUCUGUGAGAAGAUGACAAAGAUCAAAUGAAGUCAUAAGGAUGGGGCCCUAAUCUCACAGGGUGGGUCCCCUUAUCAGAAGAGGAAGAAACACCAGAGUGCUCUCUCUCUUUCCACCAUGUGAGGACACAGCAAGAAGGUGGCUGUCUGCAAGCCAGGAAGGGAGCCCUCUCCAAAACUGUCCCUGAUGGACUUGGUCUGGUAUGUCUACCCUCCAGAAUUGUGAGAAAAUAAAUUCCUGUUGUUUAAGCCACCCAGUCUGUGUUAUUUUGUUAGGCCAACCCAAGCAGACUAAUAUGCCCACUAUUAAAUGAAAUCAGCAAGGUGCAG